GUGCUCUGUGUUUCUUCCUUUGGGUAAAGCUUUCUAGGCCGGUCCUAAUCUGGGAGCCUCUAAAACCCUGAGAUGUGGAGCGAGACAGGAACUGGGCAGGGGCCACCCUUUUCUCUUUGACCAUCCCCAACUGCUUUUUUUCUUGCUUUACUUUACUCACUUGUCUUCCACCUCAGCCUGCAGUGAGUGGCUUUUGUCAUCAGGCAUUAAUAAUGCAAAGUGCCUCGGAGCAGAAGAGUUAACUAUUUGUUUACUUAGCUAAAAACAUCUGGACUUUUCUCCAUAGCCAGGCUCCUGCUUGCUCUCACCUUGAGGGGCAUGGGCCUCCACCCUGCUGUGUGGGGUGAGGGGAUCCUUGGCCAGGGUGGUUUCCCCGCCGUCAUAGGAGGGAAGUCAGCGGGAGGCUCAGAAGGCCUUGGCUGUACAACCAGUGCCAUGCAGCGCAGUCAGGGUCCCAUGAACGACUUCCAUCAGCUCACCCGCCUCCAUCCCCAAGCAGAGUGUAGGCAAGGGCUGUGACUGCCUCAGGUAAUUGGGUGAUUUUGCUCCAGCAAGAGGAGAGGAAGCAUGUGAGUGCCACACUGAACCUUUCAGAAACAGCUGUGGGGUCAGGGGGGCUUGGGCCAGGCCAGGAUACACGGUGUUAAGCCUGCUCUCUCUUCAGUGCCCUGACUCGGCUUGCAAGCAGGACCUGCUGGCCUACCUGCAGCGCAUCGCCCUCUACUGCCACCAGCUCAACAUCUGCAGCAAGGUCAAGGCCGAGGUGCAGAAUCUCGGCGGGGAGCUCGUUGUCUCUGGGGUGGACAGCGCCAUGUCCCUGAUCCAGGCAGCCAAGAACUUGAUGAAUGCUGUGGUGCAGACAGUGAAAGCAUCCUACGUCGCCUCUACCAAAUACCAAAAGUCACAGGGUAUGGCUUCCCUCAACCUUCCUGCUGUGUCAUGGAAGAUGAAGGCACCAGAGAAAAAGCCCUUGGUGAAGAGAGAGAAACAGGAUGAGACACAGACCAAGAUUAAACGGGCAUCUCAGAAGAAGCACGUGAACCCGGUGCAGGCCCUCAGCGAGUUCAAAGCUAUGGACAGCAUCUAAGUCUGCCCAGGCCAGCCGCCCCCACCCCUCGGGGCUCCUGAAGAUCAGUCACUGUUCAUCACUGAAAUGAAUUUGCUAAAUACAACACUGAUACUAGAUUCCACAGGCAACUGGGCAGACUGUGAACCAGUCCAGGUGGUGAAUUUUCCAAGAACAUAGUUUAAGUUGAUUAAAAAUGCUUUUAGAAUGCAGGAGCCUACUUCUAGCUGUAUUUUUUUAUAUGCUUAAAUAAAAGUAAAAAUUCAUAACCAAAGAGAAUCCCACAUUAGCUUGUUAGUAAUGCUCUGACCAAGCCGAGAUGCCCAUUCUCUUAGUGAUGGCGGCGUUAGGGUUUGAGAGAAGGGAAUUUGACUCAACUUCAGUUGAGAGGGUGCAGUCCAGACAGCUUGACUGCUUUUAAAUGACCAAAGAUGACCUGUGGUAAGCAACCUGGGCAUCUUAGGAAGCAGUCCCUAGAGAAGGAAUGUUCCCAGAAAGGUCUUUGGAGGGACAAACUCAGUAAAACAUAAUGUAUCAUGAGGAAAACUGAUUACUCUCUUUAUGACGUGAAAUGAGAAUCUUAAUGCAUGGUUACGAUUACUAAUGUACACUGCUGCAGGACAUUAAUAAAGUUGCUUUUUUAGGCUACAGUGUCUUGAUGCCAUAAUCAGAACACACUUUUUUUCCUCUUCCAGCUGCAAAUGCAAAUUCAUCAUUGGGCUCACUUCUAAUAAUUGCAGUGUUUCCCGCCUUGGGCUUGCAGCAGAAAAACCUGACAAAAUAGUGUUUGCUAAGGCAGUAAUUUAGACUUUACCUUAUUUGUGAUUACUAUAGUGAUUGAUUACUAUAACUACAAGGCAUAAUUUACUAUCUUAUUUAAAUUUUGUGAAUUUGAAUGUUUUUUACACUAACUUUCCCCAACAAAGUCCACUGUGAAACCACGAC
RNAcentral lists this small RNA (2011 nucleotides) under Pongo abelii (Sumatran orangutan). RNAcentral's name for it is "retained intron". The record is from RNAcentral. Lineage: Eukaryota; Metazoa; Chordata; Mammalia; Primates; Hominidae.